GAUGAACGCUGGCGGCGUGCCUAAUACAUGCAAGUCGAGCGAACAGAUAAGGAGCUUGCUCCUUUGACGUUAGCGGCGGACGGGUGAGUAACACGUCGGUAACCUACCUAUAAGACUGGAAUAACUCCGGGAAACCGGGGCUAAUGCCGGAUAACAUUUAGAACCGCAUGGUUCUAAAGUGAAAGAUGGUUUUGCUAUCACUUAUAGAUGGACCCGCGCCGUAUUAGCUAGUUGGUAAGGUAACGGCUUACCAAGGCAACGAUACGUAGCCGACCUGAGAGGGUGAUCGGCCACACUGGAACUGAGACACGGUCCAGACUCCUACGGGAGGCAGCAGUAGGGAAUCUUCCGCAAAGGGCGAAAGCCUGACGGAGCAACGCCGCGUGAGUGAUGAAGGUCUUCGGAUCGUAAAACUCUGUUAUUAGGGAAGAACAAAUGUGUAAGUAACUGUGCACGUCUUGACGGUACCUAAUCAGAAAGCCACGGCUAACUACGUG
RNAcentral lists this ribosomal RNA (497 nucleotides) under uncultured bacterium. RNAcentral's name for it is "partial 16S ribosomal RNA". It matches the Rfam family "Bacterial small subunit ribosomal RNA", at positions 28 to 507 of the family's 1533-position model. The record is from RNAcentral.